Molecule: long non-coding RNA, 3372 nt
Filed under: Triticum aestivum (bread wheat)
Lineage: Eukaryota; Viridiplantae; Streptophyta; Magnoliopsida; Poales; Poaceae
Description: long non-coding RNA (TAES_LNC009978)
Source: RNAcentral
CCCUCUUUGAUUUGCCCUUCUUCCAUUUCCUUCCCUGAGGCAUGCAUUUUCUCUUGUUUUUCUUCCUCACACAGGCACCUGCACCACGAAUUCUAUGCAAGGAGAGGAGUGAGGGUGCUGCAGGGAGAAAAAGGGAAGAACGGGAUGCACCUGAGGAGCGAUGGGUUGACAUCUUGGUUCCUGCUUGACCAUGUUGCCUAUGGUAUGCCUCUGCUACUUUCCCUCUUUACAAUUGCAUGCCUCUGUUUGCUGCUAAAUCAAUAACCUAGGCCACCAAUUGUUUGUUGUUUUGUUAAAAUCUUUAGAUCUGUAUGCCUCUAUUUUAGUAAUUGCUAUAGUAAUUGGAUCUGGUUGAGCUGAAAAUGGCGUUGGGGACAUCAAUUGGUCAUUUGGGUUCUCUGGUUGUACUACAAUUGGGACUGAAAUGGACACAUUUUUUUUGCUUGUAGGAUGGUGAGAAGGAGAAGGAAGGUGCUGCAAGUGCCAGGAGAAGGGGUCGGAUGUUGAUGAAACCCUUGGUUGUGAGGGUCUCUGUAUAGGUUUCAACUGAAUACUCUACUUAUUAUCUGAGAAAUACCAUGCAUAACCGAGCAACUAAUUCUAUUUUUUAAACUAGACAAAGCACCUACUGGUGAAAUGGACGUGAACCUUCAGAAAUCAAAUGUCCUCAUAUAGUAAUAUAUUUCACAUGUCUUCUAAUUUUUGAGUCCGUGAAAUACCUGAUGUACGUAGUGCAUAUGAUAUUUUGUAAACUGUAUGUGCUGGAUAGGUGGUUCUUAUGCUGCAAGGUAAUUGGGAGGCCCGCUCCUCCCCCGCAUAUGCCGCGUAAUUUAAGAUGUUGCCUGCCAAGCCCACAUAUUAUUAAGUGGGAUGUACUCUAAACUUAUAAUCAUUUAGUCUGAUGUAAUGCUAACACAGUGAUUUAUUAUACAACACGAUGGUACUUUUGGAUGGUAGUACGUUAAUUUAUUAGGAUGCAGUACUGAUACACUGAUUCAUUCGACUACUAGUGCUGGAUGGAUUUUCAGGUUGGAUAGAUCACUGUACUGCUGUGCAACUUCCCCUAGCUUCACAUUGCAAGCCCAAUGAUUCUUGUUCCCGGGAUGCCCACAUAAAACAGUUUGUUAUUUUUACUUGCCGCCAUUCACCAUCCGACUGUAGUUUUGCAACAUGCAAAUUGCAUGUACGUCUGUUAGGUCAGCAGCAUGCUAAUUGCCUGAGCUUGAGUACCACAAAUGUGAAGUUUUGACUUUCCUAUUGUAAUGGUUAGUGUGAAACUAGAAAUUGCUUCAAAACCUACCUGAAAGUUUCUUGCUUUGACAUGUAGUCUUACUAGAUGGUACAGUGGCUAUCGUCCAGAAAAUAAAUCUCUUUGGAAAAUAAAUAUUACGAGACUACUCUGAACAAUACUACUCCUUCAACUUGUACAUACUCCUAGGCUGUUGCUGUAUGGUUCCAAAAAUCCCAAAUAAAAAUCUGGAUGACAUUUACAUAUGUAAAUACAUACAUAUGAAAUAAGCACCACGGUUUCGUUUAGUGUGUAUGCGUCGAUAUGUUUUAAUUUUGACUGAAACAAUCUGGAUGGCACCUGCAUCUGUAGAUAAAUAUGAAGAAGAAUAUGAAGAAGAACCACAGUUUGGUUCAGUUUGUACGUGUUAAUUUGGUUUAACUUCGACUGAAAAUAUAUAUGAAUAAAUUUUGGUUUCAAGGCCCGUCUAAUGAUGGGCUUACUAUCCGACAAUGUUCAUUCUUUAGUUAUCCUUGUUAGUCAUGACCCCUUUAGCUAAUCUGUUUGGAACAGGUGGGUGGUACAUUUGUGUGUUGUUUGAUUGAAAGGCGAAACCUCUAGUAUUAUCAUGUUUGCUUUCCUUCGAAACGCUAGUCUUAUCAUGUUUGCUUUCCUUGGAAACGAUUCAGCUCUAGGAGCAAAUUAUUAGUUUGCUGUUUAUAAUCUGUAUCAUUUAUCAAAUUGUGUUGUAAAUUAUCAUUCCCUGUCUCAUCUUAAUUUUUUUUGCAUUCCCUGGCUCGUUUUAAUUCUGUUCCUGUGGUAGAGUAUGACUGUUGUUGUUUAUCCUGUUAAUUCAGUUGACUUUCUCUCUUGAAAUCUAGCCAAACACAGAAACAAGCACACUGCCGUAUUUGUACAGGCAAGAUCUCUUUUCACACCAUCUAGUCCAAAACAGAAAGCUGUUGUAUUCUCUGAUGAACUUCAAGGCAACGAAAAUGCAGCAGGAUAUAUGCAAGAUUCCUUGGGUACUUUGCACAAGAUAUUCAUGACACGCAAGCAGAGCCAUAUUAACAUAGGUACACCAUAUACUACACCUUUACACCAAGCAAGUAUUUACUCUGGGGAUCUUAUCAUCCAUAGUCUUGCAGCUUUAUGUUCCAUCUAAUAUGUACAGAAAUCAAUGUGUAUUCAUAACCAGACGUGUCAUUAGCUAGUUUAAAUCCUCAUUGUAUGCAAUAUAACUUGCCAGCACAUGGCAAUUUGUUUACUUAACCAUAUCUUUUAAUGGGUCAGCUUAGUAUUUUCUUUGUUCUGCACCAGACAUAACCAUAUAACCAAAAUCUAUUCCACAGCAACAAGUCUGUUCCUUGCUACCAAAAGUAGGUUACUUGUUAUAUUUUAGCAUACUAAGGGGUUCUCUCCAACCAAUUAUCUUCUGCACAGAGCCAAAGAGGCCCAAGCUGGGGUUGUGUUCGCUACAUCAACACUUGUAAUAUUUCCCAAUGCAUACAUUCAUUUGUUAUCAAGUUAUAUCAUCUUCCCAAAAUUGUUACAAUCAUCUUCAGUGUAGAGUAUAUAAUAUUUUUGUAGAUCUGGUGGUCAGGUUUAUAACAUGGUUGUCUGUACAAAAUUGUUGUAACUUAUCAUCAAUAUUUCUACAUAAAAUUUUCUAAAUCUUUUUGUUCUUCCUACGUAAAUACAAGUGAAACUUUAUCCUGAAACUUGACAAAAUGACACCCCUUUGGUUGGUUCUAACAAAAUUACUCAUAUCUAAAAAUGUUUAAUGUUUGUUCUAUUUUUGGACAGAUAUAUUAAUCCUACUUGUUGCCUCUCACAACUGCACGAGAUGAUAGUUGCCAUGAAGAGCAUUGAUUGCAAGAAAUUGAAUAAGAAACUUUUAUAUAUGUUGUUGAUGUAAAUUGGAUUGUGCUGGUCCUAAACUUGCUAUGUGUUGUAUUUUGUCAAUUCGUGUUUUAAAUUAUCAUUUCAUGGAGGAUUUUGUAAACUGCUAUGUUGUACAUAUUGGUAGAUGGCUGCAUAAAUACUACAUGAUCUUUCUAUUUUAUGGCACUUUGAAAUAUGUUUUUUCUUCAGCCAAUGUUGAUGCUAUGAUCUAUGUAAUGUAUUAUGCUAGAAAAAAAUCC